GAUGAAGAACGUAGCGAAAUGCGAUAAGUAAUGUGAAUUGCAGAAUUCAGUGAAUCAUCGAAUCUUUGAACGCACAUUGCGCCCGCCAGUAUUCUGGCGGGCAUGCCUGUUCGAGCGUCAUUUCAACCAUCAAGCCCCCGGCUUGUGUUGGGGACCUGCGGCUGCCGCAGGCCCUGAAAUGCAGUGGCGGGCUCGCUGUCACUCCGAGCGUAGUAGUUACAUCUCGCUCUGGGCGUGCUGCGGGUUCCGGCCGUUAAAAGCCUUAUUUACCCAAGGUUGACCUCGGUUCAGGUAGGAAGACCCGCUGAACUUAAGCAUAUCAAUAAGCGGAGGA
RNAcentral lists this unclassified non-coding RNA (334 nucleotides) under soil metagenome. RNAcentral describes it as "partial contains 5.8S ribosomal RNA, internal transcribed spacer 2, and large subunit ribosomal RNA". The stretch from base 1 to 120 matches the Rfam family "5.8S ribosomal RNA", at positions 35 to 154 of the family's 154-position model. The record is from RNAcentral.